GAGCUUCUAAUAUCUGUGGCACAGCCACAACUGUGUUGGACAGAGGAGACCCUUUGCCCUCAUAGAGAGCCUACAACGGAACCCCAUGGAGUUUAUCAAGCCACUGAUUUAGCCCAGCAGGGCACCCACCAGGAGCCCAGUCCCAUAGGUAAUAAGGUAAAUGAGAUAUGCAGCCAUGACUCUAUUAGGAAUGCAGCUCGGGCAGGAGGCCAUCCAUGCAGCAACGUUCCUGUGGAGAUGAAAGGGGACACCUCAGCGCACCACAGCCAUGGCACACUAAACAGACAAAAACAACUGAGUCCACAUCGCCACACCCUUCACAUAACACAGCUUGUGAAGAAAACACAUUGGAGUCACUCAAUGCUUUGAGAAAGACACAGAAAACAGAACCAAAUGGCUCUAUGAAAAAGCCACUACAAAAUAGUUUUGAGGUGAGUUUAAGUUUCCUGUUAUAAAUUGAGAAGGUACUACAUAAUAACUAAUGUAUUUGUUGACCUCUGGUCAUUUUCAUUCUGCAGUUACAUAGAUACUGAUGAAGUUGUAUGUCCUACAAAUCAGUACCUUUGUGUUUUUACCAGCCACUGGAGCACUGGGAUCUGGACCAGAUUCUUCUGACUCUUCAAACAGAUAGACUAUUUUUAGGAGGCAGUGUGUCUGACGAACCAAUGGAAGUACAACCAGUUUGGUCACAGAUGGAGACAAUGUAAGGUCACAGGAUACUAUAUUGGAGAGGCUGGCUGCUUUCUGUAGGACACAGUCAUGUGGAGAUGCUGAAGAGGAAAGAGAAACUGCGCCAGAUAAAACUUCUGGUGUGCCUCAGAAAGCACCUGUCCAACAUCCUACCAAUUUCAGACAAAAUGGUGGAUGGAGAAAGUCUUUCAAAAGGAUGGCAUUUGAGUUGCAGCCAAGCCGCCAGGAAGCGCCCACCGUUUAUAUUGAUUUACGUAACCCUGAGCCUCCCACGAAAACAACCAGACCAUGGAAGUAAUUGGAAAGAGCCUGUUACUCAGAAUGUUACGCGAGGCGAACAGAAACAGGAGAGAGCCGGACAGGAAAGAUCCAGUUCCAGCAGAUUCUACAUUCAGAACCCCCAGAAGAGUGGCCUUGAAGGACAAGCUGCCUGAGGCUAACAAUGAGAUAACAUCUCUGCUCCCAGAGGUGGACAACAAAACCACAUGUCCCACAAUGAAGCGUGACCAAAACAGGCCGCCAGUUGAGAGAACACCUGGUAUUCAGCAGAGUGCUACUACCGGGCAGCCAAAGAAACAAAGUGACCGAGAGCAGAGAGAGCAAAAGAAACAGAGAGCACAGUGCCAGCAACAGCUCCAGAAACAGCUGGAAAGCUUUAGACCAACAAGGUCUGCCGGAGACAGGGAGCCUGCCGCUGAGAAGACUGAUGUUCUUUAUGACGCUGGGUCCUCUCACCUACUAACAGUUAACACUCUGCUUGCUGAUAUGGAGGAUAAGAAGUGCUUGCUGCUGACUGUAUGCCAGUCCAGGCCUGGUAGCCAGCAGCAGUCAUCAUUGGAAAGCACCAACAGUGGAGUCAGCCACAACCAAAUCCCAUAUAUACAAUGCUCUGGUUGCUUGGUUUCUGUCUUUGGUGAAUAUUUAUUUGACUAG
Salmo trutta (river trout) is the source of this 1623-nucleotide long non-coding RNA. Lineage: Eukaryota; Metazoa; Chordata; Actinopteri; Salmoniformes; Salmonidae. The record is from Ensembl.